This 325-nucleotide ribosomal RNA is filed under the name Sandonidae sp. RNAcentral's name for it is "SSU rRNA". The stretch from base 113 to 325 matches the Rfam family "Eukaryotic small subunit ribosomal RNA", at positions 745 to 955 of the family's 1831-position model. The record is from RNAcentral. Lineage: Eukaryota; Cercozoa; Glissomonadida; Sandonidae.
GAUUUCUGGCUUGAAACAUUAAGCCGGCCACGGUUUCGUGUGUUAGUGCUUGAUGUUCUGGCCAUCCUUCCAAUUGCUGCUUGCCUUUCUUCAUUGAUAGGUGGGUAGUAUUGGAUCUUUUACUUUGAAAAAAUUAGAGUGUUUCAAGCAGGCAUUUUUGCUAUGAAUACAUUAGCAUGGAAUAAUAAUCUAGGACUUUCGGUUCUAUUUUGUUGGUGUUCUGGAGCUGAAGUAAUGAUUGAUAGGGAUAGUUGGGGGUGCUAGUAUUCAAUGGCCAGAGGUGAAAUUCUCGGAUUCCUUGAAGACUAACUUAUGCGAAAGCAUU